GACGAACGCUGGCGGCGUGCCUAACACAUGCAAGUCGAACGGAGCAGAUCCCUUCGGGGGUUUGCUUAGUGGCGAACGGGUGAGUAACGCGUGAGGAACCUGCCUUUCAGUGGGGGACAACAGUUGGAAACGACUGCUAAUACCGCAUAAUGCUUUUGAGCGGCAUCGCUUGAAAGCCAAAAGAUUUAUCGCCGAAAGAUGGUCUCGCGUCUGAUUAGCUAGUUGGUGAGGUAACGGCCCACCAAGGCGACGAUUGGUUGCCGGACUGAGAGGUUGAACGGCCACAUUGGGACUGAGACACGGCCCAG
RNAcentral lists this ribosomal RNA (308 nucleotides) under uncultured bacterium. RNAcentral describes it as "bacterial SSU rRNA". It matches the Rfam family "Bacterial small subunit ribosomal RNA", at positions 28 to 334 of the family's 1533-position model. The record is from RNAcentral.